This 476-nucleotide ribosomal RNA is filed under the name uncultured bacterium. RNAcentral's name for it is "bacterial SSU rRNA". It matches the Rfam family "Bacterial small subunit ribosomal RNA", at positions 335 to 800 of the family's 1533-position model. The record is from RNAcentral.
ACUCCUACGGGAGGCAGCAGUGGGGAAUAUUGCACAAUGGGCGCAAGCCUGAUGCAGCCAUGCCGCGUGUAUGAAGAAGGCCUUCGGGUUGUAAAGUACUUUUCAGCAGUGAGGAAGGUGGGUAUGUUAAUAGCAUACUCAUUUGACGUUAGCUGCAGAAGAAGCACCGGCUAACUCCGUGCCAGCAGCCGCGGUAAUACGGAGGGUGCGAGCGUUAAUCGGAAUUACUGGGCGUAAAGCGCAUGCAGGUGGUUUGUUAAGUCAGAUGUGAAAGCCCGGGGCUCAACCUCGGAAUUGCAUUUGAAACUGGCAAACUAGAGUACUGUAGAGGGGGGUAGAAUUUCAGGUGUAGCGGUGAAAUGCGUAGAGAUCUGAAGGAAUACCGGUGGCGAAGGCGGCCCCCUGGACAGAUACUGACACUCAGAUGCGAAAAGCGUGGGGAGCAAAACAGGAUUAGAUACCCUGAUAGGCUCUGC